CCCACUCAGCACUGGAGUCACAGACUAAUGUUUUAUGGGGAUCUGAACUCAGGUCCAUACAGGUAUGCACCAAGUACUUUACCACUGAGCCACACAUUCAGUCCCCCACUGUCUUUCAAAACCACCGAGACCAAACAAAUGAGAUGAAAUCUGACAGUGUUGCUUUUGUUUACUAUAGAUUUCAUUUUUUGGAUAGGUAUUUCCAGAAUAUAGAGUUACAUGAAGUCAGUCAGUACUUUUUAAAAAAGCAGCAUCUAUGGCGGUGGCUGACUAGUCAGACCCAUCCUGAAUUAUGCCCAGCACUAUCUGAUGGAAUGACCUCAGGAGGAAAGAGGAGUGACCAGUUGAGCAGGGAUGACCACAUACAAUUCAUGCUUCAAGGGAAUGGAUAUGGUGGAGAUGCCGACACCCACACCAGGAUUAUCAGACUGUUUUGUUGUACACAGAUGUCCUCUCAUAUGGUUAAAUGCUUAAUUUAUUUCCUUGACACCUACUCUGACUGGGAUUCACAAGGAACAAGGACUUAUUUUUCCAAUGUCCAGCGUCUGCCUAGUACAUGGAAGGAACUCAGUCAACACUGGUGAGGCUAUGGCUCACACAAGUUCAUGUCCUAGAAUGUUAAUUAUGUGUUGUGUAAGAAUAAAAUGGGAUGAUGUUUUCCUUAAAAG
This 668-nucleotide long non-coding RNA is filed under the name Cricetulus griseus (Chinese hamster). RNAcentral's name for it is "lncRNA (ENSCGRG00015041701.1)". Lineage: Eukaryota; Metazoa; Chordata; Mammalia; Rodentia; Cricetidae. The record is from RNAcentral.